GAUGAACGCUGGCGGCGUGCCUAAUACAUGCAAGUCGAGCGAACAGACGAGGAGCUUGCUCCUCUGACGUUAGCGGCGGACGGGUGAGUAACACGUGGAUAACCUACCUAUAAGACUGGGAUAACUUCGGGAAACCGGAGCUAAUACCGGAUAAUAUAUUGAACCGCAUGGUUCAAUAGUGAAAGACGGUUUUGCUGUCACUUAUAGAUGGAUCCGCGCCGCAUUAGCUAGUUGGUAAGGUAACGGCUUACCAAGGCAACGAUGCGUAGCCGACCUGAGAGGGUGAUCGGCCACACUGGAACUGAGACACGGUCCAGACUCCUACGGGAGGCAGCAGUAGGGAAUCUUCCGCAAUGGGCGAAAGCCUGACGGAGCAACGCCGCGUGAGUGAUGAAGGUCUUCGGAUCGUAAAACUCUGUUAUUAGGGAAGAUCAAAUGUGCAAGUAACUAUGCACGUCUUGACGGUACCUAAUCAGAAAGCCACGGCUAACUACGUG
RNAcentral lists this ribosomal RNA (497 nucleotides) under uncultured bacterium. Its description in RNAcentral is "partial 16S ribosomal RNA". It matches the Rfam family "Bacterial small subunit ribosomal RNA", at positions 28 to 507 of the family's 1533-position model. The record is from RNAcentral.